Molecule: ribosomal RNA, 424 nt
Filed under: uncultured bacterium
Lineage: Bacteria
Description: bacterial SSU rRNA
Rfam family: Bacterial small subunit ribosomal RNA
Source: RNAcentral
UGGGGAAUCUUGCGCAAUGGGCGAAAGCCUGACGCAGCGACACCGCGUGGGGGACGAAGGCCUUUCAGGUCGUAAACCCCUUUCGGCAGGGACGAAGCGAUCUCGUGACGGUACCUGCAGAAGAAGCCUCGGCUAACUACGUGCCAGCAGCCGCGGUAACACGUAGGAGGCGAGCGUUGUCCGGAAUCAUUGGGCGUAAAGAGCGCGCAGGCGGCUUGGCAAGUCGGGUGUGAAAUCCCGGGGCUCAACCCCGGGCACUGCAUUCGAUACUGUCAGGCUAGAGGUAGGUAGGGGAGAUCGGAAUUCCUGGUGUAGCGGUGAAAUGCGCAGAUAUCAGGAGGAACACCGGUGGCGAAGGCGGAUCUCUGGGCCUUACCUGACGCUCAGGCGCGAAAGCUAGGGGAGCGAACAGGAUUAGAUACCC